Molecule: ribosomal RNA, 447 nt
Filed under: uncultured bacterium
Lineage: Bacteria
Description: partial 16S ribosomal RNA
Rfam family: Bacterial small subunit ribosomal RNA
Source: RNAcentral
CCCAGACUCCUACGGGAGGCAGCAGUGGGGAAUAUUGCACAAUGGGGGAAACCCUGAUGCAGCGAUGCCGCGUGAAGGAAGAAGUAUUUCGGUAUGUAAACCUCUCUCAGCAGGGAAGAAAAUGACGGUACCUGACUAAGAAGCCCCGGCUAACUACGUGCCAGCAGCCGCGGUAAUACGUAGGGGGCAAGCGUUAUCCGGAAUUACUGGGUGUAAAGGGUGAGUAGGCGGCAUGGUAAGCCAGAUGUGAAAGCCUUGGGCUUAACCCGAGGAUUGCAUUUGGAACUAUCAAGCUAGAGUACAGGAGAGGAAAGCGGAAUUCCUAGUGUAGCGGUGAAAUGCGUAGAUAUCAGGAGGAACACCGGCGGCGAAGGCGGCCUGCUGGACCGUGACUGACGUUGAGGCUCGAGAGCGUGGGGAGCAAACAGGAUUAGAUACCCGAGUACA